ACGGAGGGUGCAAGCGUUAUCCGGAAUCAUUGGGUUUAAAGGGUCCGCAGGCGGACUAGUAAGUCAGUGGUGAAAUCCCUCAGCUUAACUGAGGAACUGCCAUUGAUACUGCUAGUCUUGAAUUCGGUCGAAGUGGGCGGAAUGUGUCAUGUAGCGGUGAAAUGCAUAGAUAUGACACAGAACACCGAUAGCGAAGGCAGCUCACUGGGCCUGAAUUGACGCUCAGGGACGAAAGCGUGGGGAGCAAACAGG
Molecule: ribosomal RNA, 252 nt
Filed under: uncultured bacterium
Lineage: Bacteria
Description: partial 16S ribosomal RNA
Rfam family: Bacterial small subunit ribosomal RNA
Source: RNAcentral